AACGCACAUUGCGCCCGCUAGCAUUCUAGCGGGCAUGCCUGUCCGAGCGUCAUUUCGAACCCCCCAGGCCCGGCUUGGUGUUGGGGCCCUACGGCCGCCGUAGGCCCCGAAAACGAGUGGCGGGCUCGCCGUGGCUCCGAGCGCAGUAGGUAUGUCUCGCUCCGGGGCGCGCGCGGGCGCCUGCCGUGAAAGACGCCGCAGCACGCUGAAAGGUUGACCUCGGAUCAGGCAGGGAUACCCGCUGAACUUAA
Molecule: unclassified non-coding RNA, 251 nt
Filed under: uncultured fungus
Lineage: Eukaryota; Fungi
Description: partial contains 5.8S ribosomal RNA, internal transcribed spacer 2, and large subunit ribosomal RNA
Source: RNAcentral